CGCGGUACCCUGACCGUGCAAAGGUAGCAUAAUCACUUGUUCUCUAAAUAAGGACUUGUAUGAAUGGCCACACGAGGGUUUAACUGUCUCUUACUUCUAAUCAGUGAAAUUGACCUAUCCGUGAAGAGGCGGAUAUAACCAAAUAAGACGAGAAGACCCUAUGGAGCUUCAAUUUAAUAAUGCAAACUAAUAACUUAAAAACCAACAGGCACCAAUCCACCGUGUAUGUAUUAUAAACUUUGGUUGGGGUGACCUCGGAGCAUAACAUAACCUCCGAAAGACAUAUACCAAGACUUAACCAGUCUAAGUAAACUUAUAACCAUUGACCCAAUAACUUGAUCAACGGACUAAGUUACCCUAGGGAUAACAGCGCAAUCCUACUCUAGAGUCCAUAUCGACAGUAGGGUUUACGACCUCGAUGUUGGAUCAAG
RNAcentral lists this ribosomal RNA (431 nucleotides) under Brachyteles arachnoides (woolly spider monkey). RNAcentral's name for it is "partial large subunit ribosomal RNA". It matches the Rfam family "Bacterial large subunit ribosomal RNA", at positions 1932 to 2541 of the family's 2925-position model. Lineage: Eukaryota; Metazoa; Chordata; Mammalia; Primates; Atelidae. The record is from RNAcentral.